Cedecea davisae DSM 4568 is the source of this 384-nucleotide non-coding RNA. The record is from Rfam. Lineage: Bacteria; Pseudomonadati; Pseudomonadota; Gammaproteobacteria; Enterobacterales; Enterobacteriaceae.
UAGAUGUCACUCCAGACCAUAUCGUAAACUCCUGAUAACUCAUGUGUUAAACGUUUGCCUUCGCUAACUCCUGGGGCAACACGUUGGUUGCAGGCCUGUCGGGAAUGCGACAUACAGCGGGAGGAGGGCGUUGCCGGGCGAUACGCGGUAAAUUAGCGAAGGAUUUUGGCUUAUCCCGGAGCAAAGUGGAAGAGGGAAAACCGAGAUCUGUGCAAAUCCAGCAGGAUUUUUAUCGCCAAUUGUGGGAAAAUCACCCCACUUACACUUUGUAGGGAAAUAAAGGAGCUUACGAUGAGUACCGAUCUGAAGUUUUCCGUGGUGACCACGGUUGUCGUACUGAGCUUGAUUGUUGCCGGUGCGCUAACCGCCGUACUGCACUGAUUU